This 615-nucleotide ribosomal RNA is filed under the name Triticum aestivum (bread wheat). RNAcentral describes it as "partial small subunit ribosomal RNA". The record is from RNAcentral. Lineage: Eukaryota; Viridiplantae; Streptophyta; Magnoliopsida; Poales; Poaceae.
AUGGGUUUUGGUUACUAUGAUGAUCAGUUUCAGAGUCCAUUGUCUACUAUAUCCUUCAUCAAUAGGUACCUUGAGGAGCUGGACAUUGCUUCUGUUCGGCCGAACCGCGCCACAGCUCCGUCUGUACCGAUAGCUCGGCAACGUGACCCAUCCUGUCAUCAGGCGAAAAUUAACGUGGAUGCAGGAAUCAGAGUUGGCCGGAUAGGCUCUGCAGUCGCAAUCUGUCGCGAUAGCAAUGGAGAGUUUUUGGGCAGUUCAGCGCUGAUCAUAGCAGGGGUGGAUGACCCUGCGACAAUGGAAGCCAUUGCAUGUCGAGAAGCUCUAUGCCUAGCUGAAGAUCUUCAUAUCAGAACGUUUGUCGUAGCUUCUGAUUCCAAAAAAGUGAUUCAAGAUAUCAACAACGGUACUAUGGGACGUUAUGCAGCAAUAGUGAGCGAGAUCAAGUCUGGAGCAACCUCCUUUCAUUGUAAUUUCAUAUUUGAGGGACGUGCGAAUAAUUAUGAGGCAGAUAAUUUAGCUAGAUUUUCCUUAAAUCUCGCUGUAGGAUGUCAUGUGUGGCUCGGCCAGCCCCAUGAUGAAACUUGUAUCCCUCAAUUUGUGGUCUUUGAUGAAUAA